Molecule: ribosomal RNA, 474 nt
Filed under: uncultured bacterium
Lineage: Bacteria
Description: bacterial SSU rRNA
Rfam family: Bacterial small subunit ribosomal RNA
Source: RNAcentral
ACUCCUACGGGAGGCAGCAGUAGGGAAUCUUCCACAAUGGACGAAAGUCUGAUGGAGCAACGCCGCGUGAGUGAAGAAGGGUUUCGGCUCGUAAAACUCUGUUGUUAAAAGAAAGAACAUAUCUGAGAGUAACUGUUCAGGUAUUGACGGUAUUUAACCAGAAAGCCACGGCUAACUACGUGCCAGCAGCCGCGGUAAUACGUAGGUGGCAAGCGUUGUCCGGAUUUAUUGGGCGUAAAGCGAGCGCAGGCGGUUUUUAAGUCUGAUGUGAAAGCCUUCGGCUCAACCGAAGAAGUGCAUCGGAAACUGGGAAACUUGAGUGCAGAAGAGGACAGUGGAACUCCAUGUGUAGCGGUGAAAUGCGUAGAUAUAUGGAAGAACACCAGUGGCGAAGGCGGCUGUCUGGUCUGUAACUGACGCUGAAGCUCGAAAGUAUGGGUAGCAAACAGGAUUAGAUACCCUGGUAGGAUAGCG